RNAcentral lists this long non-coding RNA (5419 nucleotides) under Brassica napus (rape). Its description in RNAcentral is "long non-coding RNA (BNAP_LNC025336)". Lineage: Eukaryota; Viridiplantae; Streptophyta; Magnoliopsida; Brassicales; Brassicaceae. The record is from RNAcentral.
AAAGAUUGCAGAAUAAAUAUCUUCCAAACGGCGCCGUAACGGAGAGAUAGCCUGUCGAGAUCUCAGUGAACACGCGUCGGGAAGUCAGCCGUCGAUGGACACGAUUCGCGGGACCCGCAGGUGGUCCAGCUGGAUUCUAAUGUUGCAAAAGCCGGUCAGCUAAACCGGGCAGCUCAGCCUCUUUAUAAACACUCCAUCAUCGCAUUGAUUCUCAACACUGUGAAAAAACAUUUCUAAGCUUUUAGCAUUUUCGAAUCAACAAAAAAAGUUCUCCCUUCUCUGUCUAACCACAAAUGGCGUUCUCAAAGUCUUCCGUCGUUGCUCUCGUCGCGGUCCUCGUCUCCGUCGUAGCUACCGUCGCUUCCGCUCAAGUCGAGGCUCCAGCUCCAAGCCCUACGUCCGGAUCUGCUGCUUUCUCGCCGUCGAUCGUUUCAGCUGGUGUUGCAGCCGUCGCAGCUCUUGUUUUCGGCUCUGCUCUUCGGAUCUAAGUCUGUGCGAUGGAGAUUCGUAUUUUUGAAAAAAUUAUUGAUCGGGUAUAGCAUUAUUAUUAUUCAUGAUGUUCGUGUGUAUUCAGGAGCUAUAUAGAUCUCUUUCUAUUUUUCUAUUAUCUAAUACCUUCAUAUCUGUAUGAGGGUACUAUAUUUAUAUCUAGAGUAUUGUGGUUUUGUGUGUUUCUACUAUGGUUUUUGAUAUGACUCUUAUUCUAUUUAUUUAUGGAUCUGAUGUUUCUCAGUUUAUAUCUUUCUCGUUCUUUACAUAAUCGGUUUAUCAAACUUCCUCUGCUUACAAUUACGAUACGAGCUUGUUUCACAAUUAUAACGUUAUACUCCAAAUCGAAUCACCCCAACUAAGAUUUAACUAAAAUCUGAAUCUAAGUGAUUGUCAUUUGGAUUCAAUUUAUAUUUUUGGUGGAAUCUGAAUCGAGAUUGUUUCUCGCGAGGUUCAAUUUCUCGACCCGACAACAUCCAAUUUUCUGUUGUCGGAACCACAUCUUUUGUUUUGUUUUUUUUUUCUCGUUAGUGAAACGCAUGUCCGAAGGAGUAGUGUUUACCUCGACAUUGUUUUAAAAAUUGAGGUCACAUUUUCGUGUAAAAUCAAUAUAUGGAAGAAUGAAAACCGAUAAAGGGAAAAAAAGUCGAGCGUUUCGUUUGGAGUAGGUAGAAAAUUGAGGUAACAACUUUACAAAGAGGUCCCUGAAGGAAAUUCAAUUUCUUCUAUCACCCGUCGCCCGUCGGACAUUUACCAGUGCUAUUUUUUUAGUUUCAUAGGCGUGUUUUCUUUUUCUAAUCACACAAACGGCAAAGGACAUUGUUAUUAACGAAGUCAAAGUUUUCGUGAUGAAUACCAGUUUUGGUCGGAAUUGAGAAUUUUUUUUGGGAAUUUAUUUGAUGAUAAGGAAAGUUGAUGACUUCUUUCUGGCAUAAAUUUAAAAGUUGAAGCUUUUUUCAGACCGUGAGAACUGUUGAGUAAAGCAUCUCCAAUGUAAAACUCCAUUUAAAAAAAAAAAUAAGUAAAAAUAAAAAUUGAGUAAAAUUGCUCUAAUUCUACUUAAUUUCUUAUUCUACAAACAAAAAAAUAGAUUAUUUAAUUUAUGGAGUAAAUUUCAUUAUGGAGUGAGAUAUAAAAUUGAGUUGGAGCAUUCAUUAUUUCAUAUUCAUUUUUACUCUAUUUUAGAUGAAAAAAUGGAAUACUGAUGAAAAUGGCCUUAGAAUCGAAAUAGUUCGCGUUUAUUUGCAUGUAACGUGGUGUGAAUUGUGAUAUAUGUGUGAUCCUGCACCAUAUUUAAUAUCCUCUCUAAUCAAUUUUCCACGCUGUCCCACCCAAAUCCUCCUAACUGGCUACGCGCAUCUCAACCUAUCGCAUUUUACGCCAUUAAUCCAAUUUAAUUGCAAAACUUUUAUGUUCACAAACAAUGAUUCACCGUUUGGUUUUUAGGUUUAGUUGAAUGUAUUUGCCUCAUGAUUGGUGCCUUUAUUUUGUAGGUAGGUCACCCCUGUUGUUAUUUUCAAUGAAAAAAAGUUAUUCCUUGAAAUAAAGAUAACAACAUUCCAUCAACCAAAAGAAAGAAAAAAGAGUCGUUAUGUUAACGGUAAGAGACAAAGAGUCGUCGGUCAUUGAUAUCAUCUUUGACUGCUGUUAUGCUAAGCUAAUCAAUGCCGACUCCCCGGAAAUGACAAGGCGACAUGCAAUGAUGCAAUAGAGUAACAUACUAACAUGAAUAUGGUUUUUGAGUUUUCAAAAGAAACGUGUUAAAGCAUGUUUGUUUGUAAAAGCGGAUGAUUAAGUUACUUCAAACAAUUUGUUCUAAUAAGCUUUUUUGGUUGAUUAAAGUAAAGUUAUAGUUUUAUCUAGAACUUAGCAUAGCAAGCUUCAGAGGUUGAUUGUUUGUAGUUUUUAGACUAGUUUUUGGUUUUUGUUUUUUCAAAAACCAUUUUUUCUCCAAUCAAGUUUUAGCUUUUAGUUUUUGUUUUUGUAAAAACUAUUUCAUUUGCCAAUCAAGUUUUUUAACAAAUAGAUUCCCUAAAAUUUAAGAAAACUAGUUUUUGAAAAAUUUAACCAAUUUAUGAAGAAAAACCAAAAACCAACUUUUGUUAGCUUUUAUGAAAAAACGAAUUUUGAUUUUAUUUUUGAAGAAACUAGUUCAUUUUAAUUAAUUAAUAAUUAAUAAAUAAUAUUUUCAUGAAGAUAAAAUUAUCAUACAAGUUUUGCACUUUAGAUAUCAUUUAAAUAAUAAUCUGAAAUACUUUAUUUGUGAUUUGUAUCUCUAAAAUAUAUUUAUAUAUUUUAUAAAUAAUAUUAUUUAAUUUUAAAAUUGGUUAUUACUUUCUAAUAAAAAAACUGAAUAUUUUUAAUAAUUAUUAGUCACAUUAAAAAUAACUAAGAGUUAGAAAACAUAAUAUGUUUUAUUCAUACAAUAUAUUGUAUUAAUCUUAAAAAAUAAAAAUAGCCAUUCAUCUUUAAGAAAAUAUAAAUACUUUAAAUUUUUUUUAAUUAUUUCCAAAAUUUGAGUAUUUUGUUUUUGAUAAAAGUUUUUUUAUAUAAAAUUUGAGUAUUUUUUAUUUUUGUAUAAUUUAUAAUAUUUAUAUAAGAAAACUAUUGCUAUUCAAUUUUUUAAGAAAUUAUAAAUAAUUUAUAUAAGAAAAAUUUCUAAGUAGUUUCAAACUUUUAAAUAAUUUUAUUUUUGGGUAAUUUUAUAUAUUUUUUAUUUAUAUUUUAUAUAAUAUAAUUUUAAUAUAAUAACUAAAAUAUGUUAUUGUAUUUUAUUUUAAAUAAUAAUCAUAAUAUUUUGAUAAAUUUUAAUUGUAAAUAUAAAUAUUUAUUGCUAUUUGUUGUAUUAUUUUAAAGUAAUAUAUUAAUUAGGUUUUGAAAAAUGAAAAAAAUACAGCAAAAUCAAAAACCAAAAUCAAAAUCUAGAAACCAAAAGCUAGAAACCAAAAACCAAAAUCUAAAAACCAAAACUAAAAUCUAAAAACCAAAAACUAAAACUAAAAACUAUUGAAACAAUCAUCACCUCAGUUUUCUUUCAUGGUGAUACUCGAGAGGUUUUUUCCUUGUUGACAAAGGUUCUCUUUGCUUAUACUCUCCAUAUGAUGCUUCUUUCAUUAAUUUGAAUACAAUAUCACUAAACAUUUUGUUAUUAACUCUUUCUGUUAAUGAUUAAUCAUGUUUAUACUAGACUUUUAUUUUAUCACUAUGGUUAUCUAAUCACAUCAAAAAGUCAAGAAAAAAAGUAAGAUACAAAUAAAGGGGUUUAAUUGAUGUAAGGUUAAAACAUCAGGGGGGUUUAAUUGAUGUAAGGUUAAAACAUCAGGGGGUUAAUAUGCAAAUUACCACACAAAAAAAGGGAAAAUUAAGAAGGAACAGGAGGAAGCAAAGGCAACAGAUUUGGUUUAUUUCAGGGCAGCACUAGAUCAGAGUCCUCUUGUCGGAGAAUAUGCAAUCGAUCCGUAGCAGUACAAGGUUGCUUCAGAGGAACCGUUUCUCCAGCUCCAACACUCUUCGUUUCACUUCUUCUUCUUCCCCAAGCUGGUCUGAGAAUGAAUCGAGGAGGCCAGGAGGGUUUGAUUCUUUCCAUCCCACCAGAGAUUUUAAUUCACCAGCCAAGUAUCUCAUUAGCUCGUUGACAAAGGCGGUUUCUUUCUCUUCCGCAGUACCUCCUGUAAGCUUAGCCAAUCAUAGCUUGUUAAUUUGCUUCUCUGAUUGUAGAAAUGUAGAGGAUAAAUAGUUGUCAAUGGAGAUAUAGUUCCAAGCUUAGGUGUUUGACAAAGUUUCGUGCUUUAUAGAUUUUUCGACAUGUUUGGGUCACUGUGAUACUUAGAUGAGGUUUCUUUGUGUUUGAGACAACACUCUCUGAAUUUGUAUGGUGAUUUGGCAUAUGUUUCUCAGAGACAAAACUUUACGUAUGCAUCGAGGUGCUUUUCCACCGUUGGAGAUUCUGUUCAGUCUACUCCUCAAGGAUCAGCUCCUGACAUGGUUCCGAGAAUCAAGUUCAAGCGGCUUGAUAAAACCGCCAAGCAUAUCAUGCAGGUACAAUUCCAACUUUGACGAUUGGUCAUUGACAAUUAAAUUAAGAAAGUUGCAAUCUUUCUGCAGAUUGUAGACAAGGAGGCGGUUGAGGAAGUAAGAAAUGGUAGGGAGAUACCUGAGAUAAGGCCCGGUUACAUUGUGCAGCUCAAAGUGGUAAAUACUAUUGAGAAUAGGAUCUAAAAUAUCCUUCAAAAGGUUAAAACUUUCAUUGGCUUUGCAUUUAACUUUCUUAGAUUUUCCUUGUUUGAACACUUUAGGAAGUGCCUGAGAACAAGAGGCGUGUUUCAAUCGUAAAAGGAAUUGUGAUAGCAAGGCGUAACGCUGGACUUAACUCUACGUUUAGGAUUAGAAGACUUGUGGCCGGAGUGGGAGUCGAAUCCAUGUUCCCCUUGUAAGUACUCUUAAACCUUUUUGCCCUCUCUCUCCUUUGUGCUAAUGGCAAAGAUGGAUUUUACAUUCCUAGAGCCUCAUAGCAUGCUCAAAACGCUUCCAUUUACGAGAAAAAACAGCUGAUAUGUGAGGUUGGUGACAGGUAUUCGCCAAACCUGAGGGAGAUUAAGGUGUUGGACAAGAAGAGAGUAAGAAGAGCCAAACUUUAUUACCUCAGGGACAAGAUGAACGCUCUCAAGAAGCAUUAGAGCACCUUAAUCUUCAAUUAAUCAUAUAAACAGGGUAGUCUACUCCCUUAAACAAAGUCUUUGAGGGUUGUUUUUUUGGUGACGAAUUGGCCUUUUCGUCACAUAUUGUGAACCUGUGUAUUUGAAUAAUGAUGGAUCCUUUUAUUCCUCUUACUUGCUCCAAUAAGUAUUGGUUAGUUAGUUCAUUAUGAGUAAUCUGUAGUAACUAAAUGUGUAGCUACUACACACAAAGCACGAAUCAACCUAAAACCAUA